UGGUCGUUUGUGUUGUAGAAGUUGAUCGAUGCUUGUAGUAAAGGUGACGGACCGUUUGGAUGACAUUUCGUCUGCAGGCCCACUAGCCUUCUCCAGAAGUGUGGCGAGAGCCGAGUCAAAAGAAUGGCAGACUGUGCAGCUGAAGAGGAAAAGGGCGAAUUCUCCAAUCGUCAGGGAGCAGAGAGAAGAAUGAUCAUUCAACCGACAUCUUUAGAAGACCCCACACUCAACAAACUUAAAGAG
Molecule: long non-coding RNA, 243 nt
Organism: Sinocyclocheilus grahami
Lineage: Eukaryota; Metazoa; Chordata; Actinopteri; Cypriniformes; Cyprinidae
Exons: 3
Source: RefSeq, a predicted model, not a curated record